Molecule: ribosomal RNA, 253 nt
Filed under: uncultured archaeon
Lineage: Archaea
Description: partial 16S ribosomal RNA
Rfam family: Archaeal small subunit ribosomal RNA
Source: RNAcentral
UACUGGCAGCACAAGUGGUAUCCACGAAUAUUGGGUCUAAAGAGUCCGUAGCCGGUCCUUUAAGUCUUCUGUGAAAUCUUGAGGCUUAACUUCAAGGCGUGCAGAAGAUACUGCUGGACUUGAGAGUGGGGGAGGUCAGGAGUACUUAUGGGGUAGUGGUAAAAUACUGUAAUCCUAUAAGGACUUCCAGUGGCGAAGGCGCCUGACCAAAACACGUCUGACGGUGAGGGACGAAGGCUAGGAGAACGAAUCG